Sciurus carolinensis (gray squirrel) is the source of this 667-nucleotide long non-coding RNA. RefSeq lists it as uncharacterized. The record is from RefSeq and is a predicted model, not a curated record. Lineage: Eukaryota; Metazoa; Chordata; Mammalia; Rodentia; Sciuridae. The transcript has 4 exons.
CAGGUGGUAGAGCACUGCAGACACUUCCUGGACUCUGCGCACGAUUUUCUCCGGAUCGUCUGCAUCCUCCUCGCGGCCCGGGAGGCCGCGGUACAGGGCCAUCUGCCAGCGCAGAGACGGGGAGCCUUCGACCUGCGGGGAGCAAGGAGGGCCAGCGUGAGGGCAGCUCCCACGCCCGCUCACUCCUUGCUCUGCCCAGCUUCUCUGACGGCGCUCAUGGCAGAGGCGGCCUUCGGCGGCCGGGUCCCCCCUCCACACUGCCAGCCUUCCAUUGGGCGAGUGCCUGUUAAGGUCCGGCGGUGCCUGGUACACACGUCGACUUGGCCAAUUAUCACAAAGUGAACAUGCUGUGUCCACCACCCAAGACAAGAGACAUACAGGGAGAAACAAACUAGAACCAAGCUCACAGAUGUGUAAGAAGUGGAGAUGCUCCUCAGACACAACAGCAUGUAUAUAACUGAAGGUUUCUGGAAGCUCUCUAUUCCUAAGAACAGGCCGGGUGAUGGAGAAAGGCCUGACCAUCUUGCCUCACCCCUGUUCGCCACACUGUGGACACAGUGCUGGAGGGACGACGUGGGGCUCUAAAACUGCAGCUGCAACCCUCACGCGGUGGCGGGAUUCAAGGAGCAGAGGCGGCAAAUCCAAGGGACUUGGGUCCGGGCGUAGG